Molecule: ribosomal RNA, 636 nt
Filed under: uncultured bacterium
Lineage: Bacteria
Description: bacterial SSU rRNA
Rfam family: Bacterial small subunit ribosomal RNA
Source: RNAcentral
UAAAGAAUUUCGGUCAUCGAUGGGGAUGCGUUCCAUUAGCUUGUUGGCGGGGUAACGGCCCACCAAGGCAUCGAUGGAUAGGGGUUCUGAGAGGAAGGUCCCCCACAUUGGAACUGAGACACGGUCCAAACUCCUACGGGAGGCAGCAGUGAGGAAUAUUGGUCAAUGGGCGCUAGCCUGAACCAGCCAAGUAGCGUGAAGGAUGACUGCCCUAUGGGUUGUAAACUUCUUUUAUAUGGGAAUAAAGUGCAGUAUGUAUACUGCUUUGCAUGUACCUUAUGAAUAAGGAUCGGCUAACUCCGUGCCAGCAGCCGCGGUAAUACGGAGGAUCCGAGCGUUAUCCGGAUUUAUUGGGUUUAAAGGGAGCGUAGGCGGGUUGUUAAGUCAGUUGUGAAAGUUUGCGGCUCAACCGUAAAAUUGCAGUUGAUACUGGCAUCCUUGAGUACAGUAGAGGUAGGCGGAAUUCGUGGUGUAGCGGUGAAAUGCUUAGAUAUCACGAAGAACUCCGAUUGCGAAGGCGGCCUGCUGGACUGUAACUGACGCUGAUGCUCGAAAGUGUGGGUAUCAAACAGGAUUAGAUACCCUGGUAGUCCACACAGUAAACGAUGAAUACUCGCUGUUUGCGAUAUACAGUAA